AGGUAAAAGAAACAGUCGGUGCGAAGUCGUAACAUGGUAGUUGACAGUGAACUUGUAGCUGAACCAAAAAUGGCUGCUGGAAGUAGAAAUCGUUAUUAAGCGUCAGGAAGUCCUGGACGUUGAAUCCAAUAGCAUUG
Molecule: small RNA, 137 nt
Filed under: Plasmodium falciparum 3D7
Lineage: Eukaryota; Apicomplexa; Aconoidasida; Haemosporida; Plasmodiidae
Description: Pfa-mtR5611a
Source: RNAcentral